AUGCAAUGGUAUUUUCUAGCUGCAUAAUGAAUGAAUUCAAUUAAAAAAAAGCUGACAUAUGUGACUUUUUAUAUGCAAAGUGAAGUGUGCAUGUGUUAUAUGUUUAAAUGGGUUUUAAUACGUCAAAGUGGAUGAAAUUCUAAGAUUUAAUUGCAUUUGAUAAAUUGAUAAGUGAUGAAUAAAAUGAAAUUUAACAAGGAAUGCAUGAGUUGAUCGGAUG
Molecule: long non-coding RNA, 220 nt
Filed under: Carica papaya (papaya)
Lineage: Eukaryota; Viridiplantae; Streptophyta; Magnoliopsida; Brassicales; Caricaceae
Description: long non-coding RNA (CPAP_LNC006530)
Source: RNAcentral